GCCCGGCUAGCUCAGUCGGUAGAGCAUGAGACUCUUAAUCUCAGGGAGGUGGGAUCGCGCCCCACGUUGGGCG
RNAcentral lists this transfer RNA (73 nucleotides) under Cricetulus griseus (Chinese hamster). It matches the Rfam family "tRNA". From Rfam's summary of the family: Transfer RNA (tRNA) molecules are approximately 80 nucleotides in length. Their secondary structure includes four short double-helical elements and three loops (D, anti-codon, and T loops). The record is from Rfam by way of RNAcentral. Lineage: Eukaryota; Metazoa; Chordata; Mammalia; Rodentia; Cricetidae.